GGGCGCGGAUCAAUACUCAGGGUGUCAGCGAGUUCUUUUACUUGGGCUAAUGUUAAGUUCAUUCCUGUCUUCAUCGUCUUCAAGUAUAUUUCGAGAUGAAAGUAUUGUUCCAGAAGAAUAAGAGGGAUCCGUAUCUGUUCCAGUAGAAGGAUAAAGUAAAGGCCUUGAAGCGGUAAGUAGAUCAUUGUAUGGGUUGUGCUACAGUUGCGCUUAAGGCUGCUCCGGAGUUAUGAGCAAGUUCAAGCUAUCUUGGUUUAGGAGGACUACUAACAAAGAUCAGGAGUACCUGAGUAUAUAGAGAGGCCAUUCAUUAAUAAGUGGCCAAGGAAGGCCCAAGCCCUAGAGAAGACAGAUAAUAAGGAAGGAAUAUUAGUAAGGAAAGAAGGUUGGAUGGGAGGUUGGAAGGCAGAAUCCUGGACUAGCUCAUAGCUAAUUAAUAUAUAUGAAUGAGUUCCAAAAUGCAGGACUUGCUCAGUAACUUGAGACUAGGAUGAAAGGCUGGAAGACCUGAUUGAGAGUAUUAGGCUUCCUCGUAAGAAAGGUAGAGAACAGAGUUUACUUGAAGCUUCUCUGCAUUAAUAGAUAGAAUAUGGAACUAACCCAGUCGGAACUAACCCAGUGCUCUCUGAAAAUGCAAGUGAGAAUUCACCCCAUAUUGACUACCCCAUACAGGUGCUUUUCUCUCCAUUUCCUACCUAGGCAGGACUACUUACUUUAUUGGGCGAGGUCAACAGCCAAGCCGACAAACAACCAACUGAACCUUUCUUGCAGACAACAAGGGAAGGAAACCCGCCUAACAAAGGCAAAGAUCGGUGUGAGAAUCAUAGGCGUCAGUAAGCACUAACUAAAGGAAUAGCUGCUGGCCUGGUUGGUUACCAAUCUCUUAAUUGUCUAUAAGGCCCCAUUUUGGUGAGUUACCUGUUGCGCGGUAGCAAGUAAAAUAACGAGACUAAUUGCACUUUGAAGUUACUAAUUUCAUAGGCAGAGGAUAGGUCAGCAAGGUAAGAAAGAGAAUAAGGGUUGGUAGUAUAAGUA
Molecule: long non-coding RNA, 1035 nt
Filed under: Musa acuminata (dwarf banana)
Lineage: Eukaryota; Viridiplantae; Streptophyta; Magnoliopsida; Zingiberales; Musaceae
Description: long non-coding RNA (MACU_LNC007864)
Source: RNAcentral